GACGAACGCUGGCGGCGUGCCUAAUACAUGCAAGUAGAACGCACAGUUUAUACCGUAGCUUGCUACACCAUAAACUGUGAGUUGCGAACGGGUGAGUAACGCGUAGGUAACCUGCCUGGUGGCGGGGGAUAACUAUUGGAAACGAUAGCUAAUACCGCAUAAUAUUGAUUAUUGCAUGAUAAUUGAUUGAAAGAUGCUAUUGCAUCACUACCAGAUGGACCUGCGUUGUAUUAGCUAGUAGGUGAGGUAACGGCUCACCUAGGCGACGAUACAUAGCCGACCUGAGAGGGUGAUCGGCCACACUGGGACUGAGACACGGCCCAGACUCCUACGGGAGGCAGCAGUAGGGAAUCUUCGGCAAUGGACGAAAGUCUGACCGAGCAACGCCGCGUGAGUGAAGAAGGUUUUCGGAUCGUAAAGCUCUGUUGUAAGAGAAGAACGGGUGUGAGAGUGGAAAGUUCACACUGUGACGGUAUCUUACCAGAAAGGGACGGCUAACUACGUG
RNAcentral lists this ribosomal RNA (505 nucleotides) under uncultured bacterium. RNAcentral describes it as "partial 16S ribosomal RNA". It matches the Rfam family "Bacterial small subunit ribosomal RNA", at positions 28 to 507 of the family's 1533-position model. The record is from RNAcentral.